This 254-nucleotide ribosomal RNA is filed under the name uncultured bacterium. Its description in RNAcentral is "partial 16S ribosomal RNA". It matches the Rfam family "Bacterial small subunit ribosomal RNA", at positions 524 to 776 of the family's 1533-position model. The record is from RNAcentral.
UACAGAGGGGGCAAGCGUUAUUCGGAAUUAUUGGGCGUAAAGAGCUCGUAGGCGGUGUGUCACGUCGGCCGUGAAAACCUGCAGCUUAACUGUGGGCGUGCGGUCGAUACGGGCAUCACUGGAGUUCGGCAGGGGAGACUGGAAUUCCUGGUGUAGCGGUGAAAUGCGCAGAUAUCAGGAGGAACACCGGUGGCGAAGGCGGGUCUCUGGGCCGAUACUGACGCUGAGGCACGAAGGCCAGGGGAGCAAACGGG